RNAcentral lists this ribosomal RNA (562 nucleotides) under uncultured bacterium. RNAcentral's name for it is "partial 16S ribosomal RNA". It matches the Rfam family "Bacterial small subunit ribosomal RNA", at positions 355 to 1376 of the family's 1533-position model. The record is from RNAcentral.
UGGGGAAUCUUGCGCAAUGGGCGAAAGCCUGACGCAGCCAUGCCGCGUGAAUGACGAAGGUCUUAGGAUUGUAAAAUUCUUUCACCGGGGACGAUAAUGACGGUACCCGGAGAAGAAGCCCCGGCUAACUUCGUGCCAGCAGCCGCGGUAAUACGAAGGGGGCUAGCGCUGCUCGGAAUUACUGGGCGUAAAGGGAGCGUAGGCGGACAUUUAAGUCAGGGGUGAAAUCCCGGGGCUCAACCUCGGAAUUGCCUUUGAUACUGGGUGUCUUGAGUAUGAGAGAGGUGUGUGGAACUCCGAGUGUAGAGGUGAAAUUCGUAGAUAUUCGGAAGAACACCAGUGGCGAAGGCGACACACUGGCUCAUUACUGACGCUGAGGCUCGAAAGCGUGGGGAGCAAACAGGAUUAGAUACCCUGGUAGCCCACGCCGUAAACGAUGAUUGCUAGUUGUCGGGAUGCAUGCAUUUCGGUGACGCAGCUAACGCAUUAAGCAAUCCGCCCUGGGGGAGUACGGUCCAAGAUUAAAACUCAAAUGAAUUGACGGGGUCAUAGCUGUUUCCUG